AGUGAACGCUGGCGGUAGGCCUAACACAUGCAAGUCGAACGGCAGCACAGUAAGAGCUUGCUCUUACGGGUGGCGAGUGGCGGACGGGUGAGGAAUACAUCGUAAUCUACUUUUUCGUGGGGGAUAACGUAGGUAAACUUACGCUAAUACCGCAUACGACCUACGGGUGAAAGCAGGGGAUCUUCGGACCUUGCGCGAUUGAAUGAGCCGAUGUCGGAUUAGCUAGUUGGCGGGGUAAAGGCCCACCAAGGCGACGAUCCGUAGCUGGUCUGAGAGGAUGAUCAGCCACACUGGAACUGAGACCCGGUCCAGAUUCCUACGGGAGCGAGCAGUGGGGAAUAUUGGACAAUGGGCGCAAGCCUGAUCCAGCCAUACCGCGUGGGUGAAGAAGGCCUUCGGGUUGUAAAGCACUUUUGUUGGGAAAGAAAAGCAGCAGGUUAAUACCCCGCUGUUCUGACGGUACCCAAAGAAUAAGCACCGGCUAACUUAGUG
This 492-nucleotide ribosomal RNA is filed under the name uncultured bacterium. RNAcentral's name for it is "partial 16S ribosomal RNA". It matches the Rfam family "Bacterial small subunit ribosomal RNA", at positions 29 to 507 of the family's 1533-position model. The record is from RNAcentral.